GACCGUUUAGCUUAUCAGGUAAAAGCAGCCGACUCAUAAUCGGAGGAUAGCGAGUUCGAAUCUCGUGGCGGUCACCA
Molecule: transfer RNA, 77 nt
Filed under: Pasteurella multocida
Lineage: Bacteria; Pseudomonadati; Pseudomonadota; Gammaproteobacteria; Pasteurellales; Pasteurellaceae
Description: tRNA-Ile
Rfam family: tRNA
About the family: Transfer RNA (tRNA) molecules are approximately 80 nucleotides in length. Their secondary structure includes four short double-helical elements and three loops (D, anti-codon, and T loops).
Source: RNAcentral